AAACUUCUACGGGAGGCAGCAGUGAGGAAUAUUGGACAAUGGGCGAGAGCCUGAUCCAGCCAUGCCGCGUGCAGGAAGACGGCCCUAUGGGUUGUAAACUGCUUUUAUACGGGAAGAAACACUCCUUCGUGAAGGAGCUUGACGGUACCGUAAGAAUAAGGAUCGGCUAACUCCGUGCCAGCAGCCGCGGUAAUACGGAGGAUCCAAGCGUUAUCCGGAAUCAUUGGGUUUAAAGGGUCCGUAGGCGGGACAAUAAGUCAGCGGUGAAAGUCUGUGGCUCAACCAUAGAAUUGCCAUUGAUACUGUUGUUCUUGAGUGUUUAUGAAGUGGUUGGAAUAUGUAGUGUAGCGGUGAAAUGCAUAGAUAUUACAUAGAACACCGAUUGCGAAGGCAGAUCACUAAUAAAAUACUGACGCUGAUGGACGAAAGCGUAGGUAGCGAACAGGAUUAGAUACCCCCGUAGUC
RNAcentral lists this ribosomal RNA (465 nucleotides) under uncultured bacterium. Its description in RNAcentral is "bacterial SSU rRNA". It matches the Rfam family "Bacterial small subunit ribosomal RNA", at positions 333 to 795 of the family's 1533-position model. The record is from RNAcentral.